This 544-nucleotide ribosomal RNA is filed under the name Selenomonas sp. oral clone 55A-7. RNAcentral describes it as "bacterial SSU rRNA". It matches the Rfam family "Bacterial small subunit ribosomal RNA", at positions 8 to 521 of the family's 1533-position model. The record is from RNAcentral. Lineage: Bacteria; Bacillati; Bacillota; Negativicutes; Selenomonadales; Selenomonadaceae.
AGAGUUUGAUCCUGGCUCAGGACGAACGCUGGCGGCGUGCUUAACACAUGCAAGUCGAACGGGAUGAUUUAAGAGCUUGCUCUUGGAGAAUCUAGUGGCAAACGGGUGAGUAACACGUAGACAACCUGCCGACAGGAUGGGGACAACAUUCCGAAAGGAAUGCUAAUACCGAAUGAAGCGCAGGGGAGGCAUCUCCCCUGCGUGAAAGAUGGCCUCUAUUUAUAAGCUAUCACCUGUCGAUGGGUCUGCGUCUGAUUAGCUGGUUGGUGAGGUAACGGCUCACCAAGGCGACGAUCAGUAGCCGGUCUGAGAGGAUGAACGGCCACAUUGGGACUGAGACACGGCCCAGACUCCUACGGGAGGCAGCAGUGGGGAAUCUUCCGCAAUGGGCGCAAGCCUGACGGAGCAACGCCGCGUGAGUGAAGAAGGUCUUCGGAUCGUAAAGCUCUGUUGACGGAGACGAACGUGCGAAGGGUGAAUAAUCCUUUGCAAUGACGGUACCUGUCGAGGAAGCCACGGCUAACUACGUGCCAGCAGCCGCGGU